This 482-nucleotide ribosomal RNA is filed under the name uncultured bacterium. RNAcentral's name for it is "partial 16S ribosomal RNA". It matches the Rfam family "Bacterial small subunit ribosomal RNA", at positions 30 to 507 of the family's 1533-position model. The record is from RNAcentral.
AUUGAACGCUGGCGGCAUGCCUUACACAUGCAAGUCGAACGGUAACAGGUCUUCGGAUGCUGACGAGUGGCGAACGGGAGCGUAAUACAUCGGAACGUGCCCGAUCGUGGGGGAUAACGGAGCGAAAGCUUUGCUAAUACCGCAUACGAUCUACGGAUGAAAGCAGGGGACUGCAAGGCCUUGCGCGGACGGAGCGGCCGAUGGCAGACUAGGUAGUUGGUGGGAUAAAAGCUUACCAAGCCGACGAUCUGUAGCUGGUCUGAGAGGACGACCAGCCACACUGGGACUGAGACACGGCCCAGACUCCUACGGGAGGCAGCAGUGGGGAAUUUUGGACAAUGGGCGAAAGCCUGAUCCAGCCAUGCCGCGUGCAGGAUGAAGGCCUUCGGGUUGUAAACUGCUUUUGUACGGAACGAAAAGACUCUUUCUAAUAAAGAGGGUCCAUGACGGUACCGUAAGAAUAAGCACCGGCUAACUACGUG